RNAcentral lists this ribosomal RNA (107 nucleotides) under uncultured bacterium. RNAcentral's name for it is "partial 16S ribosomal RNA". It matches the Rfam family "Bacterial small subunit ribosomal RNA", at positions 1367 to 1482 of the family's 1533-position model. The record is from RNAcentral.
UACGUCCCUGCUCCUUGCACACACCGCCCGUCAAGCCAUGGAAGCUGGGUGUACCUAAAGUCGGUAACCGUAAGGAGCCGCCUAGGGUAAAACUAGUGACUGGGGCU